GAGUGCCGGAAAGAAGUCAGAGACUAUUGGUUCCCAUCUCUGGAGAAUCAUCAUUCAUCUCUUUAAGUGAUAUGGCGCGCCUAAGAGGAUAGCUUGAAGGUCCUGUUCAGUUUCAAACUUAAACUGAAACAGGUGUGGCCCCAAGGCCCUUCCAGUGAUAGAUCCCGCCAUACGCCAAUGCUGAAGGAAGAACUCUACUAGGGCUCUGGUUUUUUGGACUGAGGGGUUUGUGACUCUCCCUAUGAGGG
RNAcentral lists this long non-coding RNA (248 nucleotides) under Brassica napus (rape). RNAcentral describes it as "long non-coding RNA (BNAP_LNC018173)". Lineage: Eukaryota; Viridiplantae; Streptophyta; Magnoliopsida; Brassicales; Brassicaceae. The record is from RNAcentral.